ACGGAAGGCAGCAGUGGGGAAUAUUGCACAAUGGGCGAAAGCCUGAUGCAGCGACGCCGCGUGAGCGAAGAAGUAUUUCGGUAUGUAAAGCUCUAUCAGCAGGGAAGAAAAUGACGGUACCUGACUAAGAAGCCCCGGCUAACUACGUGCCAGCAGCCGCGGUAAUACGUAGGGGGCAAGCGUUAUCCGGAUUUACUGGGUGUAAAGGGAGCGUAGACGGACAAGCAAGUCAGAUGUGAAAUGCGGGGGCUCAACUCCUGAACUGCAUUUGAAACUGUUUGUCUAGAGUGCCGGAGAGGUAAGCGGAAUUCCUAGUGUAGCGGUGAAAUGCGUAGAUAUUAGGAGGAACACCAGUGGCGAAGGCGGCUUACUGGACGGUAACUGACGUUGAGGCUCGAAAGCGUGGGGAGCAAACAGGAUUAGAUACCCUGGUA
Molecule: ribosomal RNA, 434 nt
Filed under: uncultured Lachnospiraceae bacterium
Lineage: Bacteria; Bacillati; Bacillota; Clostridia; Lachnospirales; Lachnospiraceae
Description: partial 16S ribosomal RNA
Rfam family: Bacterial small subunit ribosomal RNA
Source: RNAcentral